RNAcentral lists this ribosomal RNA (245 nucleotides) under uncultured bacterium. RNAcentral's name for it is "partial small subunit ribosomal RNA". It matches the Rfam family "Bacterial small subunit ribosomal RNA", at positions 26 to 285 of the family's 1533-position model. The record is from RNAcentral.
AGGAUAAACGCUGGCGGCGUGCCUAACACAUGCAAGUCGCACGAGAAAGGGUAGCAAUACCUGAGUAAAGUGGCGCACGGGUGAGUAACACGUGAAUUAUCUACCUCCGAGUGGGGAAUAACUGAGAGAAAUCUUAGCUAAUACCGCAUAACACUUACGAGUCAAAGCAGCAAUGCGCUUGGAGAGGAGUUCGCGGCAGAUUAGUUAGUUGGCGGGGUAAUGGCCCACCAAGACGAUGAUCUGUA